GAAAUCAGCAGGCUCAACCUGUUGAAGGGCCUAAGAUACUGCCGAACUCGAGACCGGUAGACGUCAAGGGAAUUUCUUGGGUAGCGGUGAAAUGCUAUGAUCCAAGAAGGACCACCUGUAGCGAAGGCGCUUGACGAGGACGGCUCUGACGGUGAGGAACGAAAGCUGGGGGAGCGACCCGGAUUAGAUACCCGGUUAGUCCCAGCCGUAAACGAUGUGGACUUGGUGUUCCAUAAUCUUCGGGAUUAUGGAGUGCCGAAGCGAAGGCGUUAAGUCCACCGCCUGGGGAGUAUACCCGCAAGGGUGAAACUUAAUGGAAUUGGCGGGGGCGCACCACAAGGGGUGGAUGCUGCGGUUCAAUUGGACACAACCCCGGAAGAACUUACCAGGGACGACAGCAGGAUGAUGGACAGUCUGAAGGGCUUUCCUGACACGCUGAGAGGUGUUGUAUGGUCAUCGUCAGCCCGUACCAUGAGGCGUCCUGUUAACUCAGGCAACGGGCGAGACCCACAUCCUUAGUUGCCAGCAUCUUCUCAGGAAGAUGCGCACUCUAUGGAGACUGCUUGCGCAAGCAAGAGGAAGGGGUGAGCGACGGUAGAUCUGUAUGGCCCGAAUUUCCUGGGCUACACGCGGCAUACAAUGGCUGAGACAAUGAGUUCCGAACCCGAAAGGGCAAGGUAAUCCCCUAACCUCAGCCGCAGUUCGGAUUGAGGUUUGUAACUCAACCUCAUGAAG
Molecule: ribosomal RNA, 735 nt
Filed under: uncultured archaeon
Lineage: Archaea
Description: bacterial SSU rRNA
Rfam family: Archaeal small subunit ribosomal RNA
Source: RNAcentral